This 418-nucleotide ribosomal RNA is filed under the name uncultured bacterium. RNAcentral describes it as "bacterial SSU rRNA". It matches the Rfam family "Bacterial small subunit ribosomal RNA", at positions 356 to 772 of the family's 1533-position model. The record is from RNAcentral.
AGGGAAUAUUGGGCAAUGGACGCAAGUCUGACCCAGCCAUGCCGCGUGCAGGAUGAAGGCCUUCUGGGUUGUAAACUGCUUUUAUCUAGGAAGAAAAUGUCCUUGCGAGGAAAACUGACGGUACUAGAUGAAUAAGCACCGGCUAACUCCGUGCCAGCAGCCGCGGUAAUACGGAGGGUGCAAGCGUUGUCCGGAUUUAUUGGGUUUAAAGGGUGCGUAGGCGGCCUUGUAAGUCAGUGGUGAAAGCCCAUCGCUCAACGAUGGAACUGCCAUUGAUACUGCAAGGCUUGAGUACAGACGAGGUUGGCGGAAUUGAUGGUGUAGCGGUGAAAUGCAUAGAUACCAUCAAGAACACCGAUUGCGAAGGCAGCUAACUAGGCUGUAACUGACGCUGAGGCACGAAAGCGUGGGGAGCGAA